Non-coding RNA from Drosophila melanogaster (fruit fly), 532 nucleotides. The record is from Ensembl. NCBI's taxonomy places the organism in Eukaryota, Metazoa, Arthropoda, Insecta, Diptera, Drosophilidae.
GCCCAGAAGACCAGUUUUCGGAACGGGGAGGAAUAUGCGUAUAAAUACAUAUUCCGGGGGUAACGAAAGCGUAGCUGAUUUUGUUGUAUUAUAAACACAAAUAAAUAAAGGACGAGACGGCUGUUGGGCAGGAUGAGCGAUCGCGAAUGAGGCAAACGAGGCAGAAACACGAAAUCGUCCUUCGUCCUUCAUCCUUCAUCCUGCGGCUGCGGCGGCUGGCUUCCAACAAUGGCUGCGAUGACAGCCCAGCCUAAAUGCCGGGCUCGAAAAUAUAUUUAAAGGGUGCCCGGGAUGUACAGGACACGCAGGAUACCCUCACACAGACGCGGUGCUCGGCCAUCGGAUCCAUUGGAAACCACCACCUUUGCACCACCUUUGCACCACCCUGGCCACAGUUGCCAUUGUUCACCCAUAUGUUAAGACGUGCUAAAUAUGGGAGUGUCCUUGUCAUUUAUAUGUCGCAAUGUCGCCCGCUCCAGAUUCUGCGCUUUGUGCACUGUAAAAAAUGUAUGUGUGUUAUGUUAUGUUAUGU